Unclassified non-coding RNA from Erinaceus europaeus (western European hedgehog), 323 nucleotides. Its record names the gene 7SK. It matches the Rfam family "7SK RNA". From Rfam's summary of the family: 7SK was discovered as an abundant small nuclear RNA in the mid-70s but a possible function has only recently been suggested. The record is from Ensembl. Lineage: Eukaryota; Metazoa; Chordata; Mammalia; Eulipotyphla; Erinaceidae.
GGAUGUGAGGGCAAUGUGGCUGCCUCUGUCACCUCACUGAUCGCCAGGGUGGAUUCGGCUGUCCUGGCUAGGCGGGUGUCCCCUGCUUCCCUCACCACUCCAUGGAGUUCCUUCUGAAGCUGUGCGCUUGGUGGAAGAGGACUGCCUUCUCUGUAUAGAGACUGACUGGUGGAAGGUAUACAAGUAGCCAUGCUCCCCUGCUAGAACCUCCAAACAAGCUCUCAAACUCAGUUUGACUCCAGAGAGAGUGGUCCCAUGCUUUUAAGCUGUGCUUUGAAUCCUCUAGUUAGUUGCUAUUUUGAUGUGGGAUAGAGGAAUUAAGA